Culicoides brevitarsis is the source of this 1610-nucleotide RNA transcript. It is a transcript of the gene named diuretic hormone receptor-like, with no coding region annotated. Lineage: Eukaryota; Metazoa; Arthropoda; Insecta; Diptera; Ceratopogonidae. The transcript is spliced from 13 exons. The record is from RefSeq and is a predicted model, not a curated record.
GACAGCAUAUUGUGCUGGCCUCCUACGCCAAACAACACAUCAGCAGUCCUGCCAUGUCCGACGCAUUUCAACGAAAUCGUUUACGACUCCACAAAAAAUGCGACAAGACUCUGCACACCCCAGGGCUGGGCCGAACUCGCCAACUACGCCAGCUGCGUGGAAGCCUCGACAGACAGUACACUGCCACCGGAAGUCGAAAUGGUGGAACUUUCCACCGUCAUCUACUACAUAGGAUACACAAUUAGCUUACUGGCCCUCCUGUUGGCCGUUGUUGUCUUUAUUACAUUCAAAGAUCUCCGAUGUCUUCGCAACACAAUUCAUGCUAAUUUAUUUGUAACCUACAUUAUGUCUAGUUUCUUAUGGAUCUUAGCACUAAGUUUACACAUGGUUACACAUGUAGGACCAGUUGUAUGCAUAUUUAUAGCAAUUCUGCUUCAGUACUUCACUUUAACGAAUUUCUGUUGGAUGCUUGUUGAAGGCUUGUACUUGUAUAUGCUGGUGGUAGAGACAUUUUCCGGAGAUAAUUUGCGUUUCGGCAUGUAUGCUUUCAUUGGAUGGGGGUGUCCCGCUAUUUUUGUCCUUUGUUGGACGAUCGCGAGGGCAGUUGUGGGCGAUGACAGUAUCGAAGGUGCUUUUUCAGGAAAGAAGUUGGAGCUGGAAUGUUCGUGGAUACGAGAAAAGCAAAUUGAUUGGAUAAUUCACGGACCGGCAUUGGCGGUGCUCGCAAUUAAUUUUGUAUUCUUAAUUAGGAUUAUGUGGGUUGUUUAUAAGGUGUUGAUAACGAAACUCAGAUCAGCGAAUACGGCCGAGACGAGGCAAUAUCGUAAAGCAUCCAAAGCACUUCUCGUACUUAUUCCGCUGCUUGGCAUCACCUAUCUGGUCUUGCUUACGGGACCACAGGACGGUGUUUUGCGAUAUAUUUUCGACGUUUGUCGUCCCUUACUACUUAGCACACAGGGUUUUUCAGUAUCACUAUUUUUCUGCUUCUUAAACUCGGAAGUGAGACAAGCUUUGCGUCAUAAAUUUGUGAGAUGGCGAGAUGAACGAAACAUAGGAUUAAGCUCUCGAAACCGAAGAUGCACUCGCGAUUACUCACCUAGAUCACGUACUGAAUCAAUUCGAUUAACAGAUCUUCCGUUGCCACAUACCACCUCAAAUACCUCCGAUACACGACGCUUCAGCGCAAACCAUUUCCAUUAGAUGCCAAAAAUUUAUUUUUUAGCAAGAACUUUAGUUGUGUAAACCUAUGGGCUAUCUAGAAUUAUAGAAAAAAAAACUAAAAAUUGACAAAGCCUAACAAUGACCACACCGAUGCCAUAGCAAACCAGUGUUUAAAUGAAUUUAAUAUAAAUUUAAUAUUAUAUAGUAAUUUUUAUUUUUUCUAAUAUAAACAUAAAAUGCUAAAAAGAAUAUCUCUAGAAAUAACAGAGAGCAGCUGCAAAAAUUUUUCGCCACAGAUAUGUUGCAAUUCGUACAUGAGAACAUUUGCAGUUUGAAAAUUUAAUAAUAUUUAAUACGAAUGAAAAUAUAAAAGAAAGAAGCCACUUUUUUUUGUUUGCUCGCAUAGAAGAAAAUGAUAAAAAUAUUCAAGAAAAUUUAUUGAUCCAAAC